RNAcentral lists this non-coding RNA (26 nucleotides) under Mus musculus (house mouse). Lineage: Eukaryota; Metazoa; Chordata; Mammalia; Rodentia; Muridae. The record is from RNAcentral.
UGCCAUUACUUCAGUCAGUCUGUCCC